CCUACGGGUGACAGCAGUGAGGAAUAUUGGUCAAUGGGCGGAAGCCUGAACCAGCCAAGUAGCGUGCAGGAUGACGGCCCUACGGGUUGUAAACUGCUUUUAUACGGGAAUAACGCGCCUUACGUGUAGGGCUUUGCAUGUACCGUAUGAAUAAGGACCGGCUAAUUCCGUGCCAGCAGCCGCGGUAAUACGGAAGGUCCGGGCGUUAUCCGGAUUUAUUGGGUUUAAAGGGAGAGUAGGGGGCAUGUCAAGCGUGCUGUGAAAUGUCCGGGCUCAACCCGUGCCUUGCAGCGCGAACUGGCGGGCUUGAGUCCGCGGAAAGCAGGCGGAAUGCGUCGUGUAGCGGUGAAAUGCUUAGAUAUGGCGAAGAACCCUGAUUGCGAAGGCAGCUUGCUGCAGCGGAACUGACGCUGAGGCACGAAAGCGUGGGGAUCGAACAGGAUUAGAUACCCGUGUAGUC
This 460-nucleotide ribosomal RNA is filed under the name uncultured bacterium. Its description in RNAcentral is "partial 16S ribosomal RNA". It matches the Rfam family "Bacterial small subunit ribosomal RNA", at positions 338 to 795 of the family's 1533-position model. The record is from RNAcentral.